GGGUAGUGGCUCAGGGGUGGAGCACUUGCCUAGCAUGUGUGAGGCACUGGGUUCAAUCCCCAGCCCCA
Molecule: transfer RNA, 68 nt
Filed under: Marmota monax (woodchuck)
Lineage: Eukaryota; Metazoa; Chordata; Mammalia; Rodentia; Sciuridae
Description: tRNA.Ala
Source: RNAcentral